This is a non-coding RNA of Pelobates cultripes (western spadefoot toad), 294 nucleotides long. Lineage: Eukaryota; Metazoa; Chordata; Amphibia; Anura; Pelobatidae. The record is from the annotation of a GenBank genome assembly.
CUAGUGAGUGCCUCAUCUGCUAAUAUAAAUAUUUGAAUUAUAGGACCUGAAAUGUCCAAUAGUUUGUCUUGGGUCGCUUUCAAGCCCUGCUCAAUACCCUUACGAGGGUCUUUACCAGAUUUCGUCAAAUAGGUGACCAGCAUGGUGUCGAAUUCAGGGGUAGAGGCAACUUUGCCUGGAAUAGUAGGUCUCGGACAUUCAGCCCUUAGUUUGUUUCUUAUUUCCUUUUCGAGGGGCUUGCGAAGCCACAGUUUACAGAAAUUAGCAAUAUGGUCCGGGGGAGCCCAUUCUGCU